This 478-nucleotide unclassified non-coding RNA is filed under the name Hevea brasiliensis (rubber tree). The record is from RNAcentral. Lineage: Eukaryota; Viridiplantae; Streptophyta; Magnoliopsida; Malpighiales; Euphorbiaceae.
GUGGAAUUUAGAAAUUGGUGGUAAUAUGAACCCACUUUCAGUAGGUUCUUAAGUUAGAAUAGAAUUUAGAUAUUGAAUUAAUAUCAUCACUGUACAAGUUAAUGAGUGAAGGGCUUUUAUUUAAUAUUUGUAUUGGAAAAAUUAAGUUGAAAGGGAAGUUCUACAAGACUCUGAAAUGUGAAUCUACCAUUAUGAUGUAGGCGAUGAGUACUAGGUAGUGAAGAAACAAUACAUAUACAAAAUUAUUGCAUAUUUCUCUCCAUAAAAGAAUGAGUAGAUGUUAGGCAGGCAUCUGAAUCUAUCCUACGUCACCUAGAUUUUGUGGAAGAUGUUACCCAAACUAGGUGGAAGGGAAGGAAAAGAAUUUGUGUAGUUGACCCAUCUAGUUUGGGAGUAGAAAUGUGUUGAGUGGAGUUGAGUUUAUAUUUCAAAAAAUAGUGAUGAUCAAAUAAUGAACAUCAAUAGAAAAAUAAAAAAA